UACAGAGGUGGCAAGCGUUGUUCGGAAUUACUGGGCGUAAAGGGCGCGUAGGCGGCCUUCCAAGUCAGACGUGAAAUCCCCCGGCUUAACCUGGGAACUGCGUCUGAUACUGGGAGGCUUGAGUAUGGGAGAGGGAUGUAGAAUUCCAGGUGUAGCGGUGAAAUGCGUAGAUAUCUGGAGGAACACCGGUGGCGAAGGCGGCAUCCUGGACCGGCAUUGACGCUGAGGCGCGAAAGCUAGGGGAGCAAACGGG
This 253-nucleotide ribosomal RNA is filed under the name uncultured bacterium. Its description in RNAcentral is "partial 16S ribosomal RNA". It matches the Rfam family "Bacterial small subunit ribosomal RNA", at positions 524 to 776 of the family's 1533-position model. The record is from RNAcentral.